Long non-coding RNA from Gasterosteus aculeatus aculeatus (three-spined stickleback), 1353 nucleotides. NCBI's taxonomy places the organism in Eukaryota, Metazoa, Chordata, Actinopteri, Perciformes, Gasterosteidae. The record is from Ensembl.
UAUACACAUAUGUAUAUACAUACGUAUAUAUACAUAUAUCAGGGCGGACUAACCCGUCCACGUCUUUCUCUGGACACACGGCGUUGGUGAUAAGUUCAGAGUCGAUGGAGGUCACGGAGUCCAGGGGAAGCUGGACUAUCAGACCAUGGACAGACGGGUUCUCAUUGAUGGACAGGAUGUGCUGCAGGACCUGCAGGACCAAAGGGAGUCACCAGGUGGAGUUGUACAGGUGGAGGUAAACAUAUGGAGGUUAACAGGUGGAGGUUAACAGGUGGAGGUUAACGGGUGGAGGUUAACUGCUGGAGGUUCACGGGUGGAGGUUCACGGGUGGAGGUUAACGGCUGGAGGUUAACGGGUGGAGGUCCACAUGUGGAGGUUCACGGGUGGAGGUUAACAGCUGGAGGUUCACGGGUGGAGGUUAACGGCUGGAGGCUAACGGGUGGAGGUUCACAGGUGGAGGUUAACAGGUGGAGGUUCACGGGUGGAGGAGUGUCACUGACCUCUUCCUGCGUUGUGGUUUUCGGUAAUCUCAGAUGUUUCGCUUCGAUUCCAAUCUGCAGAUGAGAAAAGAGUUAAUUGAAAAACAUUCUCUGUAGCGAUGAUGAUGAUGAUGAUGAUGAUGAUGAUGAUGAGCCACCCGUUGAUGGAUCAAUGAAAGGAGCCGUGGUCUGAUUGGUCCUCACCUCAGCUGCAGCUCGUAGCUUGGAGCUGAUGUAGAGGUUUGAAUCGUCUCUGUCUCCCACCUGCAACACAGUCCACGCCUUCAUAUCGCCGUAGCAACACCAGCACUAAAGUACUACACCUCUUUACCGAUUGUACUUGUACUCUACUUUACAGUCUUUACAUGUUCUGCUACAUAUUUUACUGCUUUUGUAGUUGAAGUAGUAAUACUACAAUGUAGAAGUACUCUGUCCCAAGUAAACAUCCUGCUUGGUACAGAAGUAACAUUAAAAUAUACUUAAACUACUACAAGCUAAUAAUAGUAAUAGAUUAAUCUUAUAUAUUAUAUAUAGUUUAUUAAUUAUUCUGAGACGUAGUGCAAAUAGGUCUACCCCAGUACUGCAGUACUAUGUAUUAGUACUAUGCGUUAGCAGUAGGGAUACUGAUUCUCAGAUUAAAACACUGAAAUAAUCUAAAUGUAAUUUCUGAUCUGAAACCAUGACCACUAGGGGAGUUUUGGGACCACGAGUGGACUGGGACCAGCAGGUCAAACAUUGGUGGGUCUCUGAGAGGAACUGGUUCUCAGUGGAUAGAAGCUGACUGAGAGAAAGAGCAGCUGGGUAAACACAGCCGACAAAGACCAGUUCAGGGGGCAGAGUCCAGGUCCCCUGAGAGCAGCUCACUACAUGUGGA